Long non-coding RNA from Hibiscus syriacus, 488 nucleotides. RefSeq lists it as uncharacterized. The transcript has 2 exons. The record is from RefSeq and is a predicted model, not a curated record. NCBI's taxonomy places the organism in Eukaryota, Viridiplantae, Streptophyta, Magnoliopsida, Malvales, Malvaceae.
ACUAAACAAAACUAAGCUUUCAUCUUCUCCCUCGCCUCUCAAUAUACGACCGAGAGCCCCCAAAACCCAUGGCAAUCACCACUUUUCGGCCACCAACAAGCCAAGACCGACUGCUCAACUCCCUGGACCCGACGAUGACGACAUCGACGCUUGACCAAGGCUCCGACGACUAAGGGGCAUGGUGAGGCUGCUGCUUCACGUGGGGGAGAGCAGUUGAUGGCAGGGCAUGGUGGGGCUUGGCAACAGCAACAAUCGGGGCUGAGGGAUUUGGUGCAGCAAUAGGUGGCAGGGUAAGGUGAAAAAUAGUGAUUACAAAAGUUCAUCUACAACAUUGUCUCCUUCUUAUGGGUCUAUUGCUCUAGUACUAAUCAUGCUUGAAGAAAAUCGAGCUUGAAAAUUGUUCUUAAGAUCUAAGUAGCGGUGAAUUUGUUCGAGAAUAUAGUAGAUUUUCUCACAUUGAUUAAUAUAUACAAAAGUUUCCACUGUAA